ACAAGCGGUGGAGCAUGCGGUUUAAUUCGAAGCAACGCGAAGAACCUUACCAGGCCUUGACAUGCAGAGAACUUUCCAGAGGUGGAUUGGUGCCUUCGGGAACUCUGACACAGGUGCUGCAUGGCUGUCGUCAGCUCGUGUCGUGAGAUGUUGGGUUAAGUCCCGUAACGAGCGCAACCCUUGUCCUUAGUUACCAGCACGUUAUGGUGGGCACUCUAAGGAGACUGCCGGUGACAAACCGGAGGAAGGUGGGGAUGACGUCAAAUCAUCAUGCCCCUUAUGACCUGGGCUACAAACGUGAUACAAUGGCUGGAACAAAGGGAUGCGAAGCAGUGAUGUGGAGCGAAACCCAUAAAAACAGUCUCAGUUCGGAUUGAAGUCUGCAACUCGACUUCAUGAAGUCGGAAUCGCUAGUAAUCGCGGAUCAGAACGCCGCGGUGAAUACGUUCUCGGGGUUU
RNAcentral lists this ribosomal RNA (458 nucleotides) under uncultured Pseudomonas sp. RNAcentral's name for it is "bacterial SSU rRNA". It matches the Rfam family "Bacterial small subunit ribosomal RNA", at positions 925 to 1382 of the family's 1533-position model. The record is from RNAcentral. Lineage: Bacteria; Pseudomonadati; Pseudomonadota; Gammaproteobacteria; Pseudomonadales; Pseudomonadaceae.